This is an RNA transcript of Serinus canaria (Common canary), 1296 nucleotides long. It is a transcript of the gene named vacuolar protein sorting 25 homolog, with no coding region annotated. The record is from RefSeq and is a predicted model, not a curated record. The transcript is spliced from 6 exons. NCBI's taxonomy places the organism in Eukaryota, Metazoa, Chordata, Aves, Passeriformes, Fringillidae.
GGUCUCGUGGGAGGGCGUGGUCCCGUGCGGUGGGCGUGGCCCGCGGCAGGGCCGGAAGCGGGGCGGGGCGGGGUGGAAAGCGGCGGCGGCGGUUCCGGUAGCGGCGGCGGUGGCGGCGAUGAGCUUCGUGUGGCCCUGGCAGUACAGCUUCCCACCCUUCUUCACGCUGCAGCCCAACGGCGAGACGCGGCAGAAGCAGCUGUCGGCCUGGUGCGCGCUGGCGCUCGCCUACAGCCAGGAGCACCGGCUGUCCGCCAUGACGGUGCGGGAGGCCCAGGACAUCCCGCUCUUCGCCAACCACCGGCUCCAGCGGAAGCUGCCGCUGGAAUCCAUCCAGGUGGUGCUGGAGGAGCUCCGCAAGAACGGGAACCUGGAAUGGUUGGAUAAGAACAAAACCAGCUUUCUGAUCAUGUGGAAGAGACCUGAAGAAUGGGGAAAGCUCAUCUAUCAGUGGGUGAGAGCACACCCAGACCAGGCUGUGUCCAUGAGGAUGGGGGGUCCUGGCAGCCACUUGGGAAGGAGCACUGCUUGCUUCCUCCCUGCUUUUACCUUUCUCCUUGCACUUCUCCCUGUUGCAGAGAGGUGUCAAAGAAUGGCCUGACCAACUCUGUGUUCACGCUGUAUGAACUGGUCAGUGGAGAUGAUACAGAGAAUGAAGAGUUUCAUGGCUUGGAUGAGGCCACGCUGCUCCGUGCCCUUCAGGCCUUGCAGCAGGAGCACAAGGCUGAGAUUAUCACGCUGGAUGAUGGCCGAGGAGUCAAGUUCUUCUGACAGGAGCCUCCUCCCCUUCCCUGCUGCAGUCUGGGCUCUCUCUUGCCAAUCCUUCCUCUCUGGGCCUGGCCUCAAACUGUGACUGCAAGUAGCUGCAUCUGGGGAUUUCUCGAGGCAAGAUGAGUCUGAGAGCCCUUCCAAAGACUUAGGAAUAUCCUGAGAUCCUCUGUCUGUCUGUCUGUUCUCCCUGUUGAUGUGUUCGAGAGGCUAAAGCUGCUCUAGGCAGUUCUGGGAGGGACCACCCAGAAGUGAAACUGGACUUGCUGCUGCUCCCUGUGCCUGUGGUGGCCUCCAAGCAGCCCCAGCUUGGGUCAAGCUUGGCCUCCAAGGGGCUCCCCUGUGUCCCUGCCAGCCACACGUGCCUGGGUCCUGCAGUCCUGCUGCAGUGCCAGGGGAUGAGGUAGGAGCAGGGGACUGGCUGUGGAAGCCCUCAGUGGCAGAAGGAAAUGCACUUGCUGCCAAGCAGGCUGGGGGAAGCCAGGGAACUAAUUUCAGGUGAUUAAAAUGAGAUGUAUUUAUAGAGCA